This is a non-coding RNA of Lepisosteus oculatus (spotted gar), 512 nucleotides long. The record is from RefSeq and is a predicted model, not a curated record. Lineage: Eukaryota; Metazoa; Chordata; Actinopteri; Semionotiformes; Lepisosteidae.
UAGACGAGACUCGGACCAUUUGCCCAAUAAACUCCGAGAUUCAGGAGAGGGGCGGGAAUUUUAAAUGUGUUGUUGUUGCUCUGCGUUUAAGAAACAACACGUUGAGCCUCAGUGAUCGUGAACCUUCGUGCAGAUGAAGAUGAUGAUGAAGCAGACGAUGAUGUUGAGACCCUCGUGUGUCGGAGCGCGUCUUCUAACUGUUACUGGAGAAACAAGACUGAAGCUCAGACCUUUCCAAAGGCUGAGUCCCUGAGCUGUGAGGAUCAUGAGGACCAGCUGGACAGUCCACUGUCCACUCCACAGCCCUGAGGAAGGAGGGACGGCCUCUGGAGAAUCUGUACCAGCCUCAGGAAUGGACACCGAUAUCAGCUGACUGUUCCUUCACUCCUUCAUUCUGAUAAUUCACUACACUGAUGUACUGUUUUAACAUAAUAAAACACUCCUGAGCAAGCUUUUAGUCACUUGUUUUUUAUCUUAUUUUUGUUCUUUAAUUAAACACCAGGUUGUGAACA